Long non-coding RNA from Pieris napi, 407 nucleotides. RefSeq lists it as uncharacterized. The record is from RefSeq and is a predicted model, not a curated record. The transcript is spliced from 2 exons. Lineage: Eukaryota; Metazoa; Arthropoda; Insecta; Lepidoptera; Pieridae.
UUAAAUUUUGAUUAUGAAAAUAAUUCAAAUGCAUAGAAAAAUUCUUAACUUGUUUAAUACAGAAAAUGACUAAAUUAUGUACCUGUUUUAUUUACCAAUGACUACUUAAUGAAUGAUUAUAAAAGAAAUGAGAACCUUACCCUUCUAAAUUUUGAUUACCACAAUAAUUCAAAUACAUAGAAUCCUCCGUUUUUCCAAUUCAGAAGAUGAUUAUCUACCUGUGUUAUGUACCAAUGACUACUUAAAUGAUUAUAACAGAAAUGAAAAUAAGAAUAUAUACGUAAGCAAUCGAUUUUAAUUUUAGCAAUUAUUUCUCUAUGACAAAAUAUAUUAUUUAAAUAUUCGGUAUUCGGCCGAAUAUAAUAAAAGCAGCCGAAUAGGCCGAAUACCGAAUAGUAACCGAAUAU